UCGAGAAUCUUCGGCAAUGGGCGCAAGCCUGACCGAGCGACGCCGCGUGCGGGAUGAAGGCCCUUGGGUUGUAAACCGCUGUCAGAGGGGAUGAAAUGUAUGUGGGCACUCCCAUGUAUUUGACAUAGCCUCAGAGGAAGCACGGGCUAAGUUCGUGCCAGCAGCCGCGGUAAUACGAACUGUGCAAACGUUAUUCGGAAUCACUGGGCUUAAAGGGUGCGUAGGCGGCUCAUUAAGUAGGGUGUGAAAGCCCCCGGCUCAACCGGGGAAUUGCGCUCUAAACUGAUGGGCUGGAGUGAGAUAGGGGUGUGUGGAACUUCCGGUGGAGCGGUGAAAUGUGUUGAUAUCGGAAGGAACGCCGGUGGCGAAAGCGACACACUGGGUCUCAACUGACGCUGAGGCACGAAAGCCAGGGGAGCAAACGGG
RNAcentral lists this ribosomal RNA (426 nucleotides) under uncultured bacterium. RNAcentral describes it as "bacterial SSU rRNA". It matches the Rfam family "Bacterial small subunit ribosomal RNA", at positions 355 to 776 of the family's 1533-position model. The record is from RNAcentral.